UUACGGCCAUAUCACGUUGAAACACCGUGUUCCGUACGAUCACCGAAGUUAAACCACAACGAAUCUGGCCAGUAGCUAGAUGGGUGUCCGCUUGGGAAUACCAGGUGUUGUAAG
Acanthosepion pharaonis is the source of this 114-nucleotide non-coding RNA. The record is from the annotation of a GenBank genome assembly. NCBI's taxonomy places the organism in Eukaryota, Metazoa, Mollusca, Cephalopoda, Sepiida, Sepiidae.